Molecule: long non-coding RNA, 543 nt
Organism: Vigna angularis (adzuki bean)
Lineage: Eukaryota; Viridiplantae; Streptophyta; Magnoliopsida; Fabales; Fabaceae
Exons: 3
Source: RefSeq, a predicted model, not a curated record
CACAGAAAAUCCGUUUGUUUGGAUGAAAAACGCGAAGAGUAGAGAGAGAGAAAGUCUUAUUUCCAAUUUUACCCUCAUCUUUUCCUAAUAUCGCAUUUAUGUCCUUUUCCUUUUCCCUCCAAUUUCUCUGCUAAUUCCAACUCUGUCCUUCUCCGUUAUCAAUUUCUAAGGUUUAAUUUCCCACCCAAGGGUUUCGCUUUCAUGCAAUGGAACGUUGGGUUUGAAACAAGUUCCGUCUUGGCCGCAAGAUUGGUGGCGGAUCCUUCGGCGAGAUCUAUCUCGGGGUGAAUACACAGACAGAUGAAGAGGUUGCAAUUAAGGGUUCUGCUGCUGGACCAAGUUCUGGGGUGCCGCCAGCUGUUGUAAAUGCUGAGAGACAGACUGCUAUAUUUUUCUUUCCUUUUCACUUCUAUGUCCCAGUUCUAUGGUUCCUUACCUAGCUCUUAAAUCUUACUUGUUGCUGUUCUUACUUUUAUUUUCUCGGAUCUGUUAACAACUUACAACUUUUUUUUUUAACAAUUAUUUCACUAUGUUAUUAUUUUA